AGGGUUUGAUUCUGGCUCAGAACAAACGCUGGCGACGUGUCUUAGGCAUGCAAGUCGGACGGUAACAUGUAGAAGCUUGCUUCUAUGAUGACGAGUGGCGGACGGGUGAGUAACGCAUGGGAAUCUACCCUAGGGUUCAGAAUAGCCAUCGGAAACGAUGGGUAAUACUGGAUAACAUCGAAAGAUCAAAGGGGCUUCGGCCUCGCCAAAGGAUGAGCCUGUGUCCCAUCAGGUAGUUGGUAGAGUAAAAGCCUACCAAGCCAACGACGGGUAGCUGGUCUGAGAGGAUGAUCAGUCACAAGGGAACUGAGAUACGGUCCCUACUCCUACGGGAGGCAGCAGCCAAGAAUAUUCCGCAAUGGGGGAAACCCUGACGGAGCGACGUCGCGUGAAGGAGGAAGGCCCUCGGGUUGUAAACUUCUUUUAUGUGGGAAGAAUAAGUUUGGUAGGUAAUGACCAGACGAUGACGGUACCACUUGAAUAAGCCCCGGCUAAUUACGUGCCAGCAGCCGCGGUAAUACGUAAGGGGCGAGCGUUGUUCGGAUUUACUGGGCGUAAAGGGCGUGUAGGCGGCCAGGUAAGUUGAAUGUGAAAGACCGCAGGCUUAACCGCGGAGACGUGUUCAAAACUACCUGGCUAGAGUUUGGUGGAAGGUGAUGGAAUUCUCGGUGUAGCGGUGAAAUGCGUAGAUAUCGAGGAGAACACCAAAGGCGAAGGCAGUCACCUAUACCGAAACUGACGCUGAGGCGCGAAAGCGUGGGGAGCGAACAGGAUUAGAUACCCUGGUAGUCCACGCAGUAAACGAUGUACACUAGGAAUUGGCAGGUUACUGUUGGUUCCACAGCAAACGCAUUAAGUGUACCGCCUGGGGAGUACGGCCGCAAGGUUGAAACUCAAAGAAAUUGACGGGGGCCCGCACAAGCGGUGGAGCACGUGGUUUAAUUCGAUGAUAAGCGGAGAACCUUACCAAGACUUGACAUAGUAUUGACCGUCUGCGAAAGUAGAUUUUCCCUUCGGGGACAGUAUUACAGGUGCUGCAUGGUUGUCGUCAGCUCGUGCCGUGAGGUGUUGGGUUAAGUCCCGCAACGAGCGCAACCCCUACUUUUAGUUGCUACCAUUUAGUUGAGCACUCUAGAAGGACUGCCGGCGAUAAGUCGGAGGAAGGAGGGGACGACGUCAAAUCAUCAUGGCCUUUAUGUCUUGGGCUACACACAUGCUACAAUGGGCACUACAACGGGAUGCUAGACCGCGAGGUCAUGCCAAUCUCUUAAAAGUGUCCUCAAUAUGGAUUGCAGUCUGCAACUCGACUGCAUGAAACUGGAAUCGCUAGUAAUCGCGGAUCAGCAAUGCCGCGGUGAAUACGUUCUCGGGCCUUGUACACACCGCCCGUCACACCACCCGAGUUGGUUUUUCUUGAAGCUGGUUACCCCAAC
Molecule: ribosomal RNA, 1433 nt
Filed under: metagenome
Description: bacterial SSU rRNA
Rfam family: Bacterial small subunit ribosomal RNA
Source: RNAcentral